RNAcentral lists this ribosomal RNA (253 nucleotides) under uncultured bacterium. RNAcentral's name for it is "partial 16S ribosomal RNA". It matches the Rfam family "Bacterial small subunit ribosomal RNA", at positions 524 to 776 of the family's 1533-position model. The record is from RNAcentral.
UACGAGGGGUGCUAGCGUUGUUCGGAAUUACUGGGCGUAAAGCGCGUGUAAGCGGGCCGUUAAGUCGGGGGUGAAAGCCCAGAGCUCAACUCUGGAAAUGCCUUCGAUACUGGCGGCCUGGAGCAUGAUAGAGGCGAGUGGAAAUGCGAGUGUAGAGGUGGAAUUCGUAGAUAUUCGCAGGAACACCAGUGGCGAAGGCGACUCGCUGGAUCAUUGCUGACGCUGAGACGCGAAAGCGUGGGGAGCAAACAGG